Molecule: long non-coding RNA, 10413 nt
Organism: Ictalurus punctatus (channel catfish)
Lineage: Eukaryota; Metazoa; Chordata; Actinopteri; Siluriformes; Ictaluridae
Source: Ensembl
UGACCAUCACACCCAUAUGUGGUUCUUCUCCAAACUGUUGCCACAAAAUUGGAAGCACACAGUUGUCUUAUCUUUGUAUGCCAUAGCAUUACAAUUUCCCUUCACUGGAACUAAGAGGCCCAAACCUGUUCCAGCAUGACAAUGCCCCUGUGCACAAAGUGAGCUCCAUGAAGACAUGGCAGGAGUCUUGACCUCCACCCCACUGAGCACCUUUGUUCACCAAUGUUCCAUUGUAAACCCCCCCCCCCCCCCCCCAUUCACAAAAUGAACUCUGAACCUUUAGCAUCACUAUAUACAGCUGUUUAUUUUCUCAAAACAUUUAUUUUACUACAUACAAAGCACAAAAUAAAGGUGUAAUGGAACGACUUUCAGCAAGGUAAGAGAGUCAUCAACACAAAAUGGACGAGGACAGAAUCUACGGAAAUAUGGCAAUACUAGUUGAUUUGAGCAUGAAUACCUUUACAACGUUAAGCCUAGCCGUUUGAGUCUGCAUGGUAUUUGACACGAGCUCUAUGCGAGUGUUUUAGCUUAAUAUCGAGUAGCUUGGGAUUGUAGAAAUACACAAGAUGAGAUUACAAUGUUUGCAUGUAUGUGAGUUAGCUGUACAGGCAUCAGGAAAAGGAAAAAAAACAAAACAAAAAAAAAACAGUCAUGAACCCUCUGCAAUGAUCGGGAUUUCUGCACAAACAGAUCCUAAAAUCUGGUUCAGAAUCUUCCUCUCUUCAUAGGAGGAAAUCAAUAAAGUGCAUAUAUUUAGGUAAGUUGUUUAAAAAAAAAAGAGAAAAAAUAAUAAAGGUCACUGAUGGUGAUACAUGUGAAUCCUUGUAUUUAAAGAUUUGAGGAACCUCUUCAACCACAUGCUUUUUGUAGUGCCUUAUCAAUCUUGCACUGUUUCUGAGGUAUCUUGGGAUGUUAAGUCUGAGUUCUAGAUCUUCCUCAGACAUCUUGAUGUCUUGCUGUAGAACUUUCUGAGAACAUGAUUCCUUGAUUGAUCUGGUCGACGCUUUUAUCCAACGUCACUUGCAAGUUAGGCUCGACAAAACCCAAGCAUCUGUGGGUUACAACCGUGCAGUUGUGCGUUACACACCUCUCUCGAAAUCACACCAUUGACUUUCUGGCAGUUGUGGUCACUUGUCCGAACCAAACCUGGACCGCUCGGCAUUAGCAUUAGCAUUUUUAAUGCGCGACGUGGUUUCUUAACCUCCAGCGAACACUUCCGUUCUUCUUGAGGGUUCCUCAUGACUUGUUUGAGGAUUCUCGAGAUAUUUGUAGGACACCCACUCAUUGCCAGAGCAACUAUUGUGGGAUGAUGGAAGCUGAAAUCCUUCCAGAAUUCUCAUGAGAUCCAGGAGCACUUGCUCACUUGCAUGGAGAACCUUCUUCCAGUUACGCUUUUGUCAUCUUCAUUAUGGUUCACAUACAUUUUUUUUUUUCCAUCAAUGACCUUGAUUAUUUCAGAAUUUGUUAACCAGACAUUUUAAGAUCCAUUCCUGGAGAAACCAUGGAAUUCCAAAGUGUUCAUGAAGUUGUAUUUAGGAAAGCUAAGGAAUGGUCCACUAAAAUCCACAUCACCCACAACUGGUCCAGGUGGAACUUAACGGUCAGGCUUUCCCUCCUCUGAGUAAUCAGGAAAUCCACAAAACGGUUAACUUUGAAUUGCUGGUUACAUACGCUCAGAAAAAUAAAGGGUACUAAACUGUACCUCGACGGUACCACUCCACUGACAAGCAAGUAUACAUUUUGUGUAUCUUUAACAAGACAUGGUACUGUUGAUGUAGUUUCACAUAAUUGAACCUCGAGGACCAAUCCUGUACCUAGCGUUUUGACUAAUACUUCAAAGCUGCACAUGAAAAUGAAUCUUUAUUGUAAAAAAUACAUACUAAAUGGUACAAAAUGUAUAUCCUUAAGAGUGACAAGUAAACGUACAGUUUAGAACCCUUUCUUCUGAACGUGUAUGAUCUGGGAUCCGAUAAAAUACAACUGUCAAGUUUCCUUGAAUUCUGAAUGCUAGGAGAUGAAUCCAAACCUGGACGGAUAAGUAUGGCAGUAGACGGUAUUUUAUUGUACGUAUGUGUUCAGUACAUAUGCUGAUGUGAAAAAGUUCAGGGGAAAACCUGACCAUUCAGAGUGCACCUGUAUCUCCAGCGGAUCGGUCUCAGACAGAACUGGGUCAGGCUCAGCACAAAACUCGUACUGAUUUGCAAAUUUCAUUAUCCACAUUGUACACAUGACCACAUUCUGAAAAUGAUACAACAGUGAUACAAAUAUACAUAUGGUUUGUUUCUGUCUUUGUAUGUAUUCUUUUUUUAAAGCCUGAGUCAUAAAUUUCACGAUUAAAUCGAUGCGCAGUAAGUCUAACAUAUUGCAUAUCUGACCUUCACUAGAUGAAUGCAUGGUAUUUCUUAUUGGCAGCAUGAAUAUGACAUAGUAAGAAACAUUUUCCUUUAACAUUUUCUAGAUAUUUUUGACUAUUCUGCUUCAAAAUGAUAAUAAAACACCAUGCUCAGCUUUGUACCUGAGAGAAUGCACAUGCAGCUGUACAGUAUACAGUGUAUGUAUGUCUUGUAUAUGUAUGUAUGUAUGUAUGUAUGUAUGUAUGUAUGUAUGUCAGUCAUGUAUCAGACAGACCUAAUGCACAUAGCUUCGAGGAAAAUAAGAUUAAAAUGUUAAGACCAAAAGUAAGGCAGCUGACUCCAGGACUUUGUCUUUCCACAUGUCUGUCUGAGACGAGUGCGUGGAUCUGCAGCUUUCCUUCGUGAGCUUUCCCUCCCGAGUUUGGCUUUGAACUUCCUUCAGACUAUAUUACGGAUGCAUCGAUACCACUGUUUUGAUUUCCAGACCAGUUGUGUUUUUUUGUUACUCAUCGAUACCGAUUGCAAAAUGAGUAACCUGCGUUCGUGUUAAUCAAUCGUGGAACAAUUUACGUUUAUGUUUCCAUGGCUUGGCCAUGUUCAUGCACUUGGACGACCAGGGUACAUUGUAAGCUUUGAUCGAGUAGGGUUGCAGUGGAGAGCGGGUUUUGUUUGGAAGUCCUCGUUGUCAAGGACAAAUAGUGGCUGAUCGUCAAGAACAGCAUACCGGGUACAAGCUGUUCUUGUCGUUCAUCUGGCAUUGUGAAACGCUCGUGAAAUCUACACUGUCAGUUCGUGCAAUCUGUUCGUUGACAUGACGACGUGCACCAGGCUUACAUCUCAGUGCAUCACCUGGUAUCAGAUAUUGGCAUGAGAGCAAAUUUUAUGAGAAAAAGUACGACUAAUCAGAUAACUACUGGUAUCGAUGCAUCCCUACACUAUAUACAACCAUAAUCUAGACUCAACCAGGUUUACAGAGCUAUAAAACUCUCAGUCUUUUGUAGUCCCCGGUUCUAGAACCCGCAAAAAGCGUUUACUCUCGUUCUAGAACAAUCGGCAGGGUAGCAAUUCCCCAACGCUAAGUUCAGUGGUUCAGUCUUGCUGUGGAGUGCAGGUUUAUAUGUAAAUGUUGUUUGGCAGAACCAUUUGGACCUGUCCUGCACUUCUUCUUGCGUUAGAACUCACCACUUUAACCCUGACACUCUCCCCAAAUAAGGCUUUGGGUUUCAGGCACACAGAGGUACUGUUAACUGAGCUAGCAUGUAGAUGUCUCAAAAUAAAAAAACAAAAAAAAAAAAAACAAGAAAAAAAGAAAAAAAAACAGAUGCAGAUUCGAUUUUUAACAAAAUAUUAUAAACAAUCAUAAUAACACAAUUCCAAAGACGGAUAAAGAGGAGAGAGAGAGCUGUACAGGCAAGACUGCUGAUACGUGAUGUGUGUGUGUGUGUGUGUGUGUGUGUGUGUGUGUGUGUGUGUGUGUGUGUGUGUGUGUGUGUGUGUGUGUGUGUGUGUGUGUAUGUGUGUAUGUGUGUGUGUGUGUGUGUGAAAACCAACAUUGUACGGAGGUAGCACAGGAGGAUUGAACCAGCAAAGGAAGCCUCCGGAAAAGGAGAGCAGCAACGCCAUGACGACUGAAUGAAUCCGUCAAGGUGUGAGUGAACGAUAAAUACAAUCAGAGUGAGUUUGGUAGACAUGAGGCUUGAAACGUUUCCUUGUUUUUCUGCGUAACUGCAUAACUGAACGCAAGGCGAUAUCUGUCUUACCCUACGUACACACGCUAGCAGGCGACAAGUCGGGCUGUCCUGUGAUCCGAUGAGAAAUAGAACACGAACGAAAUAAUGCACUAAUCAGUGUGAAAAUUGGUUGUUUUAAUUGAAAUGUUACAUGCUAGGUCUUGUUCUAGCUUCACUGGCAGAUUAGCAGUGCAAGCUGACCGUCCUGGCUAAGUUCACUCCCCAGAGACACCAACGACCUCUAUUACUUCCAUGCUUUCCUCCAUAAUGCCUCUAUACGCAUUUAACAAGUGUUCGUAUAAGACCAGAUAAGACGAAAGCGUUAAUAAAUUGCGGUGAAUUCAUUCAUUAACUGCUAGAGCCAGACGUUUGGAUUUGCCACUACACCGCGAUUUCUAAUUUGCAUAGAAUUGCGAACAUCUCGAUUUAAACGUCUUGCUGUCACCCGUUGCUAAAGUCGCGGAAAGACGACGGACAGUCGCCUGCCGCGUGCUAGUACGGACGUAGGGUUACAUGACAGAAUGUGUGAUUAGAGAGAAACAGACAGACGGAGCGGCAGCGUAGCGACCCCGAGUCAAGCGAACGCUUUACACCCUUCGGAGCUUGAAAUAAACAGUUCACCAGAGGCUGCAAAGCAGGAUCACCACAGAUACUGAGCGUAACGCAUCAUCCAGCGAAAAACGACACUCUGUGUGUCCUUCACGAUCGCAGAAACGUGCAAAUAGUCUAGCUAGCACAAUUAGCAUAGUCGGUUUGGUUGUCAAUGCUUCGGGCCAGGCGGCACCGGAGAAAGCUAAUACUGACUGCGAGUAGCAAAAUGAAAUUCGCACUGCGCCCAGCGGAAACUGAAACACUGUUUUUGCAUUGCCACGCUACACACAGAAUGUAAAGGAAACAGGUUUUAAGGAAACUGGCAAGAGUUGGAGCACCUCUUUAACCUUGAGGUAAACAGUCCAGCAUUUCAGUUGGAGAGGAAUAAAUAAGAAAGAGAUUAGUGUGUGUGUGUGUGUGUGUGUGUGUGUGUGUGUUUGAUUUCUUUUAAAUAAAAAAAAAAGUAAAAAAAAAAAACAAAACGAUGAAUGAAACACAAUCGUGUACUGAAUACAUGUGCGGAUGGGAGAGGUAGAUCAUUUUGGUUAAAAACGGCACCUAUCGGCGUAUCUCCUUAAACAAUCAGCUUUCAGAGUCCUCUGCUCUCUCCUGUAGUCCGAAACACUACACACAACUCAAGCAGAUUUCCUUCCAGAUUACUCAUUAUAACUAGAACCCUCAUUAGAACUCUGAGCCUGAUCUUGCUAAUACGAUGGUGGGGCUAGACUGGCUUGUUCUCCUGUAUGAUCCAGCAAAAUAAUCCUAUCCCUAACUUCCAAAGUCGACCCGUCCUAUUAAUUAAGCUUUCCUCUUCCUAGCCCCACCCAUAUACUCAUAUAAUAUAAUAACCAGACUUGUUAGCAUAUGAACACAGAAGCCAGUAAUUCAGUAAUGAACGAUAAUCCCUUCCACUAGCUUAUGACGAUUCAGGAAGGAAUAACGUACAAAAAAAAAAAAAAAAGGUCACCUUCGGUUCUAAACGCUGACACACACACUGCUUUCGUGUUUUCAUUUCAGGUGCGUCACCGUUAACUACUGCAGCCAAACUGUGAUGGCCGGUGAUUUUGAAACACGAACACUUUGUUUUUUUUUAUAGUAUCAAUCUGCCCAGAGCAAAUGAGGUCUCUGUGGCGUCCCAGAACUUCUCAAACACAUGGAACGCCAAACAGGACAAGAAGUCUGCACAUCUGCUGUCUUAACUCGCCUGAUCGCCCACUUUUGCACAACAUUCAGGUGUUCUACGUAUGAUAGAGAGCUUGCGGUGGAGGGAAAACUGAAAACAGGGCCUUCGGAGUACUUUGAUUCAACAAAACGUCAACCGAAAUGAUUGAUUACACUGUUGAGAAAUAAGCAGGGGGGUGGUAAACCCUCGUGUGUCAGAUACAUUUGGGAUUCUUUCUUAGGGUGCUUUCACACUAAGCUUUUUUUUUUCCCCCUUGAUGUCAAGUGCUUUGACAUUCCUUGACAUCAAGUGCUUUCUUUAAAUCUCCUGAGCAAUCAGGUUGCAAGAGAGUGCUGGUGAAAAAAGAUUCUGGUUAGUGAGCGAAUAUAAGGAGAGUUAAAGAAAGACCUGCUGACUUGAAACGAUUUCAUUGGCGAUAUUCCAAAGUUAGGUAAGGAAUAUAACAUGUGAGGCAUAUUAUUAUAAGAAAAAUAAUCCACGUCACUCAAGUUGCGGUUGAUUUUCAUUCGUUUUCCUAGAACAGCACAUCUCGAAGCGUUUCUUUCCUCUUAUACUAAUAGCGACUAGCCAGUGAUUACAAUUUUAUGCCUUUCUUAUCCGUUUACCACAAUGGUCCAUUUAACGUUGUGGGAAGUCCACGAGACAAGUUAUUUCCUUCCGUUAUAACUGCUAUAAUCGCUUGGCCUUGUUAUACGGGUUCUUUUACAUAAUAAACAAACAAACAAACGACAAACCCUGCAGCUUUGUCAUAUUAGUGAGAAACUGCAAGUCCGCCAUAGUGAAGAUUCUAGAAAGCUACAGCUUUUCCUCUGACUGUUACAAAAUGCUUGCACUGGAGACUCCUUCCCUAAAUGGUUGCAAUUUGUUGAUUAUUAAGUUUAGGUUAUGUGGUGUGUUCACCAUACAAGUCCCUGUGAAUUAGCCAUUAUUACAGAAACAGUAACGGAGCACUUUUUGUGGUUGGGGGAAGAAGGGAAAAAAAAAUAGACGCAAAGUGUGAAAGCAUCCUUAUUGAGCUUAGCUAAGGCAACAGACUGCCCAUAAUGCUGAACUCUUCCCUGCUGAAACCAUGGUGGACGUAAUCCUAAAAAAAUGUGUGUAUGUGUUUGUAUAUGUGUGUGUGUGUGUGUGUAUGACUGCCUCGUUUCCCUUGUUGAGUUUCUCUUGAGUUAUCCUGGCGGUUUUUGUGAGUUCUGUAAGGCUACGGAGGCGACAACACUGUGUCUGAAAACAGGUGAAACAGGUUUGUACGUAGAAACAGCAGCCAUUUCCGCGUGUGUCCUUUCACAGCGCUGGACGACAAAGCACAUGCUCCUUAGAAAGAAUCCGGGUCGAAGCUUAAUUUACACAUAGUAGAAUGUACACGGGUAUGCAGAGAUUCAUCCAGUCCACUAGAUGGCGGUGAUGUCCUGUCCCGCUGUCCCAGUCGAGAGUCAGGUGUGUCCAUCGCUCAGAAAGCUCCUGUUUUGUACCUCACGAAGAACAUUCCAGUCUGGCUUUUUGUUCUCAUGAAGUAGUUUUAACACGAAAAACUUCCGGACAGAGGAGCUGGGAAAACAAAACAAAACAACAACAACAGCAACAAAAAUCAUCACAGCUCCAUCCUGUAGCAGCCAGACACCAUCAUUCCUCCUGUUUUUCCAUUUAAUUCCACAGAGCAGUUAAAGCUUCGAAGAGUCUUCCACAACACUAUUACGGCAGAAGUGUAGGCGUAAGAGGAGGCGUGCGGGUGUAACCGGUAUAUUUUCUGUAGAUAUACACAAGGGGCUCCAGGGUCAGUUCAUGUCCCUGAUGAUUGAUUGGUUUCAGGCAGCAUUUGUGGUGAGGACAGAAGUGAUGAUUCUGUCUCUUCUCCAAAAAUCUGAGAGUUCUAGCAAGGCUUUGUGCAGCAGCAAGAGUAUGGUAUGAGAUGUCUUGUUGAUUUGCCAAAAAAAAACAAAAUAACCCAAAAAAAACCCAGGAAAAAAAAGAAAGACAGAAAAAAAUCUCAUAAUAAUCAUAAUAAGAUCGUAACGAUUAAAGUAAGAGCAAAUGAUGAAUUCGCAUCUAACAAUCAUGAAUAGAUAAAGUCGUCAAAGCUUAUUGUCACCUCAGAGAAAAAAAAAACCUCCAAAGCAAAACAAAACAAAAAAAGAGAGCAAAAAUAUCAUAUUUGCAUAUUUCUCCCAAGCGUCUUUUCUUUUCUUUUCUUUUUUUAAACUAAUGAAUCAUCUUAGUACUUGCCUAUGCUUGUUUUCAUUAGACUUAAUAUGUACAGGAAUAAUAAAAGUGGUAUUUACAACGUACGACCACAAGAGAGCGGCACAAAAGCCAUAAACUGACGCGGCGUGAUACGUCUUCUAAAAUGUAAACUACCUAAAACGGUCCUAAAAACAAAACGAUUAACCCCGAUCAAAGCAUUCUGAGGUGAGGAGCGCCCAAUCUGAAACGUACGGGCGUGUACUGGCGAAAUGAUGGGCAACUGGCGGGGCAUUGGACUGCUGCUUGUAGCGUUUAACGGGAAACCUGUAAUAAUAAAAAAUUAAAUAAAAUACACAGGUUCGGUAUUAAGUAACAGAAUAUACUUAGUUAAAGGAGCAGAUUGUCAUUUUUAGAGCCCCCUGCUGCUUGUCAGGUGAAUUACAAUUAGAAUAAAAAAAAACAAAAAACAAAAAAACCCACAAUCAAGACUCCCAAGUGCAUCUGUUUUAACUGCAUAUGUCUUGUACCUUGCCUUUAAAGUGCUCCUGAAUUCAAAUGAGGUGUUUCAGCGUUUUUUUGUACCGGUACCUUAUUGUUAUGGACACCAGUACAAAAAACAAAAAGACAAAAAAUAGUUUCAGAGAUAUUCUCAUUUUCAGUUCUUGGAAAAUGAUUACAAAUUUUUGAUGACUCAUCCUGUACUAAUCUACCAAUGAAAUGUUCUCUAGAAUGUAUAUGUCCCGCCCCGGGGGACGAGGAGGCAUGUCUUUCUCUACAGUAGCAGCUCUUUAGCAGCAAACCUGGCUUGUGUUUUUGGCUUUGUGUCAUUCCAAACACCAUUCCCUUUUCAAACCAAAAAAAAAAGAAAAAAAAGAAAAAAAAAAGAGAGAAGUGGUCGGAGUUUAUGAGUUUAUUCAAUUCGAAGAAGGUGGAAUUUGUGGCGGAAGUUAAACGGGAAAUUGGGACGGCUGGCAAACCCGUACGCGGUGAGAACUCUGUCCUCCAGAGUUUAGUGGUGCAGUUUAGUGGAAAGAUAGUAUUUACGAGUCGAACGCGCAUGAACGCCAUCAUAAAGUCGUAAUUACGAGCUGAAAUUCAACGUUUACGUGUCUCCGAAGGUGAUUUCAGUUAUUAUGUGAUUAGUAUAUGCAGCAAGUUAUUGAAAUACAAGCAAAUUUCUUAACGUGUCUUUGUCGGGCUUUUUUUCAUUUACAAUAAAGCAAGCUAAUUUCCUGCACAAAAUACGACAACGUUGUACAAUUCCGAUAUAAUAUGUUAGGAUAACGUUUACAGUGGCUUCGUAAAUUGAUUAAAAAAAAAAAACACACCUGAUGUGCAUUCUUUGUUCUUCGUUUUCUAGAAAAUGUGACUCGAACGCGCCUGACGUCGUAAUUACGACUUUCCACCUCGUAACCACGAACUUCCCAGGAGGACUUGAACGCACCAUAAAACAAAGCUCUGGCUAAACUCCAUAUUCAGAUAUUUCGUCAAGAUACCGUCAAGUUUCUAUAGAUUUAGUAUGUGUGUAUCUCGAACACCGUCACCCUGACUUUUGGGUUCUAAAAGGAAAUACAUCAACAUACGCAAUCGAACCGUGUCUCUCGAACCAUUCCAUGAGGUUCGUUCAAGCAGCUCUGACUGGUUUGGGGCGGAGCUUGUUUACUGGGGCUUGGGGUGGGGGUGGGGCGGAGCUUAAACAAAGAAACAAAGGCACAUCAGGGCAAUGCUCCAAAUCUAUGCUAGUUUUUCAAAACGAUCUUUAAAUAAGAUAUAAAAUAACGUGUGUCGUUUAUUAAAAAAACGACCACCUUUUAAAACACCUUUAAAAAGUGUCUCAUCUACAAAUGAGGGCUCGCUCUCUUGUGGUGAUUAAAUAUCCUAUCUAUACAAACAUUCACUUCAGUGUAUGUGCCUGCUGCUUGUUAGUGUCCGUUUCUUUCAUAUACACAACAAAACACAUCUCUCCGCACAAGCACACGCACACACUCAAACCAAAGAGGCCUGCUAAUCCUAUUUUACAACGCUCAGCCAUACGCUUCAAUUUAGUAGAAAGCAUCUCUCUUAAAUAUAGUUAUUAGCUUAUAUUUAUAUUUCUUUUCAUAUAUGCAUAAGUACAUUCUUAAUAUUCCCCUUUAGCUUCCAAAACCCAUAGCCCUUCUCUGGACUUAUACAUGUGACCCUCCCUCCCCUCACACUAACACACACACACACACACAAGCACAAAACACCUCUAGAAAUUCCCCAAAACGGGAUACCAGACAUCCCCCGGCACUCUCCUGCCCUGGAGACACAAACAUACACGCUUUCACUUUUGUACUCACUCUCAAAACACACAGACACACAGUCUACUGUAAUAGGACUCCUCCAGAUGUCC